UAGUGAGUUUGAUCCUGGCUCAGGAUGAACGCUAGCGGCAGGCCUAAUACAUGCAAGUCGAACGGGCAGCAAUGUCAGUGGCGGACGGGUGAGUAACGCGUGAGAAUCUGUCUUCAGGUCUGGGACAACAGUUGGAAACGACUGCUAAUACCGGAUGUGCCGUGAGGUGAAAGAUAAAUUGCCUGAAGGUGAGCUCGCGUCAGAUUAGCUAGAUGGUGGUGUAAGAGACUACCAUGGCGACGAUCUGUAGCUGGUCUGAGAGGAUGAUCAGCCACACUGGGGACUGAGACACGGCCCAGACUCCUACGGGAGCAGCAGUGGGGAAUAUUGGACAAUGGGGCGAAAGCCUGAUCCCAGCAAUGCCGCGUGAGUGAUGAAGG
This 380-nucleotide ribosomal RNA is filed under the name uncultured bacterium. RNAcentral's name for it is "bacterial SSU rRNA". It matches the Rfam family "Bacterial small subunit ribosomal RNA", at positions 1 to 414 of the family's 1533-position model. The record is from RNAcentral.